GGGUUGUGAGGUUAAGCGACUAAGCGUACACGGUGGAUGCCCUGGCAGUCAGAGGCGAUGAAGGACGUGCUAAUCUGCGAUAAGCGUCGGUAAGGUGAUAUGAACCGUUAUAACCGGCGAUUUCCGAAUGGGGAAACCCAGUGUGUUUCGACACACUAUCAUUAACUGAAUCCAUAGGUUAAUGAGGCGAACCGGGGGAACUGAAACAUCUAAGUACCCCGAGGAAAAGAAAUCAACCGAGAUUCCCCCAGUAGCGGCGAGCGAACGGGGAGCAGCCCAGAGCCUGAAUCAGUGUGUGUGUUAGUGGAAGCGUCUGGAAAGGCGCGCGAUACAGGGUGACAGCCCCGUACACAAAAAUGCACAUAUUGUGAGCUCGAUGAGUAGGGCGGGACACGUGGUAUCCUGUCUGAAUAUGGGGGGACCAUCCUCCAAGGCUAAAUACUCCUGACUGACCGAUAGUGAACCAGUACCGUGAGGGAAAGGCGAAAAGAACCCCGGCGAGGGGAGUGAAAAAGAACCUGAAACCGUGUACGUACAAGCAGUGGGAGCACGCUUAGGCGUGUGACUGCGUACCUUUUGUAUAAUGGGUCAGCGACUUAUAUUCUGUAGCAAGGUUAACCGAAUAGGGGAGCCGAAGGGAAACCGAGUCUUAACUGGGCGUUAAGUUGCAGGGUAUAGACCCGAAACCCGGUGAUCUAGCCAUGGGCAGGUUGAAGGUUGGGUAACACUAACUGGAGGACCGAACCGACUAAUGUUGAAAAAUUAGCGGAUGACUUGUGGCUGGGGGUGAAAGGCCAAUCAAACCGGGAGAUAGCUGGUUCUCCCCGAAAGCUAUUUAGGUAGCGCCUCGUGAAUUCAUCUCCGGGGGUAGAGCACUGUUUCGGCAAGGGGGUCAUCCCGACUUACCAACCCGAUGCAAACUGCGAAUACCGGAGAAUGUUAUCACGGGAGACACACGGCGGGUGCUAACGUCCGUCGUGAAGAGGGAAACAACCCAGACCGCCAGCUAAGGUCCCAAAGUCAUGGUUAAGUGGGAAACGAUGUGGGAAGGCCCAGACAGCCAGGAUGUUGGCUUAGAAGCAGCCAUCAUUUAAAGAAAGCGUAAUAGCUCACUGGUCGAGUCGGCCUGCGCGGAAGAUGUAACGGGGCUAAACCAUGCACCGAAGCUGCGGCAGCGACGCUGAUGCGUUGUUGGGUAGGGGAGCGUUCUGUAAGCCUGUGAAGGUGUGCUGUGAGGCAUGCUGGAGGUAUCAGAAGUGCGAAUGCUGACAUAAGUAACGAUAAAGCGGGUGAAAAGCCCGCUCGCCGGAAGACCAAGGGUUCCUGUCCAACGUUAAUCGGGGCAGGGUGAGUCGACCCCUAAGGCGAGGCCGAAAGGCGUAGUCGAUGGGAAACAGGUUAAUAUUCCUGUACUUGGUGUUACUGCGAAGGGGGGACGGAGAAGGCUAUGUUGGCCGGGCGACGGUUGUCCCGGUUUAAGCGUGUAGGCUGGUUUUCCAGGCAAAUCCGGAAAAUCAAGGCUGAGGCGUGAUGACGAGGCACUACGGUGCUGAAGCAACAAAUGCCCUGCUUCCAGGAAAAGCCUCUAAGCAUCAGGUAACAUCAAAUCGUACCCCAAACCGACACAGGUGGUCAGGUAGAGAAUACCAAGGCGCUUGAGAGAACUCGGGUGAAGGAACUAGGCAAAAUGGUGCCGUAACUUCGGGAGAAGGCACGCUGAUAUGUAGGUGAAGCGACUUGCUCGUGGAGCUGAAAUCAGUCGAAGAUACCAGCUGGCUGCAACUGUUUAUUAAAAACACAGCACUGUGCAAACACGAAAGUGGACGUAUACGGUGUGACGCCUGCCCGGUGCCGGAAGGUUAAUUGAUGGGGUCAGCGCAAGCGAAGCUCUUGAUCGAAGCCCCGGUAAACGGCGGCCGUAACUAUAACGGUCCUAAGGUAGCGAAAUUCCUUGUCGGGUAAGUUCCGACCUGCACGAAUGGCGUAAUGAUGGCCAGGCUGUCUCCACCCGAGACUCAGUGAAAUUGAACUCGCUGUGAAGAUGCAGUGUACCCGCGGCAAGACGGAAAGACCCCGUGAACCUUUACUAUAGCUUGACACUGAACAUUGAGCCUUGAUGUGUAGGAUAGGUGGGAGGCUUUGAAGUGUGGACGCCAGUCUGCAUGGAGCCGACCUUGAAAUACCACCCUUUAAUGUUUGAUGUUCUAACGUUGACCCGUAAUCCGGGUUGCGGACAGUGUCUGGUGGGUAGUUUGACUGGGGCGGUCUCCUCCUAAAGAGUAACGGAGGAGCACGAAGGUUGGCUAAUCCUGGUCGGACAUCAGGAGGUUAGUGCAAUGGCAUAAGCCAGCUUGACUGCGAGCGUGACGGCGCGAGCAGGUGCGAAAGCAGGUCAUAGUGAUCCGGUGGUUCUGAAUGGAAGGGCCAUCGCUCAACGGAUAAAAGGUACUCCGGGGAUAACAGGCUGAUACCGCCCAAGAGUUCAUAUCGACGGCGGUGUUUGGCACCUCGAUGUCGGCUCAUCACAUCCUGGGGCUGAAGUAGGUCCCAAGGGUAUGGCUGUUCGCCAUUUAAAGUGGUACGCGAGCUGGGUUUAGAACGUCGUGAGACAGUUCGGUCCCUAUCUGCCGUGGGCGCUGGAGAACUGAGGGGGGCUGCUCCUAGUACGAGAGGACCGGAGUGGACGCAUCACUGGUGUUCGGGUUGUCAUGCCAAUGGCACUGCCCGGUAGCUAAAUGCGGAAGAGAUAAGUGCUGAAAGCAUCUAAGCACGAAACUUGCCCCGAGAUGAGUUCUCCCUGACUCCUUGAGAGUCCUGAAGGAACGUUGAAGACGACGACGUUGAUAGGCCGGGUGUGUAAGCGCAGCGAUGCGUUGAGCUAACCGGUACUAAUGAACCGUGAGGCUUAACCUUACAACGCCGAAGCUGUU
RNAcentral lists this ribosomal RNA (2930 nucleotides) under Escherichia coli. RNAcentral's name for it is "bacterial LSU rRNA". It matches the Rfam family "Bacterial large subunit ribosomal RNA". Lineage: Bacteria; Pseudomonadati; Pseudomonadota; Gammaproteobacteria; Enterobacterales; Enterobacteriaceae. The record is from RNAcentral.